This 202-nucleotide ribosomal RNA is filed under the name Marmota monax (woodchuck). RNAcentral describes it as "Bacterial large subunit ribosomal RNA". It matches the Rfam family "Bacterial large subunit ribosomal RNA", at positions 2443 to 2643 of the family's 2925-position model. The record is from Rfam by way of RNAcentral. Lineage: Eukaryota; Metazoa; Chordata; Mammalia; Rodentia; Sciuridae.
AUUUGAUAAAUAGAACCAGUUAUCCUAGGGAUAACAGCGCAAUCCUACUCAAGAGUCCAUAUGAACAGUAGGGUUUAUGACCUUGAUGUUGGAUCAGGACAUCCAAAUAGUGUAACUGCUAUCAAUGGUUCAUUUGUUCAAUAAUUAAAGUCCUGUAUGAUCUCAGUUCAGACUGGAGAAAUCUAGGUCGGUUUCUAGCUAU